Molecule: long non-coding RNA, 565 nt
Organism: Papaver somniferum (opium poppy)
Lineage: Eukaryota; Viridiplantae; Streptophyta; Magnoliopsida; Ranunculales; Papaveraceae
Exons: 2
Source: RefSeq, a predicted model, not a curated record
UAAAAAUUCAGAAUAAAGUUAUUAGCAGACAUAGAGAUAGAGAAACGGAUCGAGAUACUUAGAGAGAUCGAGAUACUGAGAAGAUAAGAGAGGGACAGAUCGUGAAGAUAAGAUAGAUGGACGCAGAAGAUAAGAGCCGUAUGUGUUUGUUAAGUUCUGAAGUGAAGAACAGUGAGGAUAGGCAUUUCUGUGUCAAGGUCCUCCAUUUGGAUCUAACACAAAAAAGAAAGGAGUAAGAAUGGAGUGUUCUGUUAAUGGGGAUGAGUUCUGUGUUACCGUUGCACCGACAAAGAAGAUGAGGAAGGCCUUGUCUGCAACAACAUCUGCAUCAAAGAAAUCUGGUGAUAUACCACCAUUGUCAAAGGGAAAAGCAGCUGCUACUACACCAUCUUCUUCUUCAACAGGUUCCCAGAAAAAAGGGAAGACAACUGAUGGUGUUUGUUUGUAAUGGCGGACAUCUUAAUCACUUUAUGUUUGAAGUACUGAUGGUGUUUUUAACUAUUAUUGUUUAUGUAAGUGCAGAUAGUUUGGCAAUUAAAAUUAUGUAGUGUUGUUUUUUUGUUUU